ACCCUUGUGGAGGAGGACGCCGAAGGUGGGGCUAAUGACUGGGGUGAAGUCGUAACAAGGUAGCCGUACCGGAAGGUGCGGCUGGAUCACCUCCUAACAGGGAGACAACAAAAUGUUUAAUAUUAUUAUUUUGUCACCUUAGGUCGAUCGGUAUCUCACGUUCUUAAUUUAUUAAGAAUUUCAUUUCCUAAGUUUUUCUAGGUCACACCCAUUAUUUUUCCUGGGCCAUUAGCUCAGGUGGUUAGAGCGCACCCCUGAUAAGGGUGAGGUCCCUGGUUCAAGUCCAGGAUGGCCCAUAUCUCUAUGUUGGGGGUAUAGCUCAGUUGGUAGAGCGCCUGCUUUGCAAGCAGGAUGUCAGCGGUUCGAGUCCGCUUACCUCCACUGAUUACCACCUCUUCCAUAAUUUGAAGAAAGGAAUUUUUUUGAGUUGUGAUCAAAUUCUGAACGAAUCUAGCUUCCUAAUGAAUUCAUUAAGAUGCUGGACUCAUUGAAUUAAUUUUCAUUGUUUUCAGAGAACCUUGACAACUGCAUAGAUUAUUUUUAAAGACAAUAAGCAUCUUUAAUGAUGCAGAUUUAUUAUUUGUGCGAAUGCAUUAAUAACAAUUCUAUUAAGCUGAUGCUUCAAUUUAAUGAAGUUAUUGGUCAAGCUACAAAGGGCUCACGGAGGAUACCUAGGCACACAGAG
RNAcentral lists this unclassified non-coding RNA (685 nucleotides) under uncultured Prochlorococcus sp. RNAcentral's name for it is "partial may contain 16S ribosomal RNA, 16S-23S ribosomal RNA intergenic spacer, and 23S ribosomal RNA". The stretch from base 1 to 97 matches the Rfam family "Bacterial small subunit ribosomal RNA", at positions 1437 to 1533 of the family's 1533-position model. The record is from RNAcentral. Lineage: Bacteria; Bacillati; Cyanobacteriota; Cyanophyceae; Synechococcales; Prochlorococcaceae.